AGGUAGGAAAAUGUAUCCAUGUAGGUAAAGGUCGUGGAUCCAGUGGUAGAUUUAAUUCGAGCAAGUAUGGUAAAGCCUUUAAUAGAACUCUUCGAAGGCAGAGGUGAUAAAUUCAGGGCUUAUGGUAAUGCUCAUAUUUCACUUACGGAUUUCAUAAAUUCCAUGGUGGAACUUAUUAGUUCUCAAAUGGAUAUUGUUGGUGAUUCAGAUGCUUAAAAAAAUGGAAAAAGAUUGCAAGACUCAUUUUGUUUCGAUUAGUAAAAGUUUGUGUUCACUUGUUUAUUUCUUGUGUUUGAUAUGGAUUUGUCUAUUUUUUCAUGGAAUUGUCAAGGUUGUGCUAGUACAAAUUUUUUGUGUAUUUUUCACGAGUAUGAUUUAGAGUAUAAGUCAGAUAUUGUCUGUCAAUUAGAAGCUAGGGUUAGUGGAGCAAAAGUAGAUGACAUCGUCGUCAAGUUAGGUUUUCAGUUUUCUCAUUGUGUGGAGGUCGUUGGUUUCUCAUGAGGGAUUUGGGUUGGCUAAAAGGACUCAAUUAGGGUUGACGUAAUUCAUAGUCAUCCCAAAUUUAUCUUUGAUCAGGGUUCUUGGGCACUUUCAACAACUUCCUAUCUUUAUAGCUUUUGUGUAUGGUAAUCUUGACAGACAAAAAUGAAAAACUCUGUUGGAGGGUUUAAAUGCUACUAUAUACCUCUCAGAAGUGUUCCAUAGCUUGUUAUUAGAGACUUUAGUGCCAUUUUGUUUGAUAGUAAGAAGAAAUGUGGACGGGUCCGAGGUAUCAGGUGUUCUCUUUUUGAGAUUUUUAUGAAUUUUACAGCUUUACAUAAUUUGGGUUUUCGAGGUCCUUAUAGUUGGUGUUGAGGGUGGAUUUUUGAAAGAUUAUACAAGGCUAUUGGUAAUGGUGCCUGGUUUAAUGAGUUUCCUAAUACAUUAGUCACGCAUCUUCCAAGGCUUAAAUCUUAUCACAGAUCACUUUUUCUAUUUGUGAGACCUGAGCAGAGGGUCCCCAAGGAGAGACCCUUUAGAUUUCUUGUUGGUUGGCUGAAGCAUCCAAGGUUUUAGGAUUUUUUUAAGGGUCAAUGAGGCUUUAAUGGUAAUUUGGUUGAUUCCCUUUCUAAUCUUUCCAUAGAUCUCAAAAAGUGGAAUCGUAUUGUUUAUGGUCAUUUAGGUACUCGCAAAAGACACCUGGUGAACAAGCUCUCAAGUAUUCAAAGAAAAAUGGAGGGUUUUGAUUCUAAUAUAUUCCUCCAAUUAGAGAUUAAAACUUGAGAAGAGUUGGAAAGUGCUUUACAUCAUGAGGAGCUUCUCUAGAAGUAGAAAUCCAGAUGCGAAUGGUUAAAUUUAAGGGACCGUAAUACUAGAUUUUUCACUGUUAGACUCUGCAGAGAAGGAAAUAAAAUCGUGUCACUACUUUGAAAGGUGGUAAUGAUUCAUGGAUCUAUGAUGAUAAGCCUUGCAACUUGAAGCUAUCAAUUUCUUUCAAAAGUUAUAUGGCGAACAACCAAAACCCAUGGGUAUUUUACCCCCUAGCUCAUUUCCUACCCUUGAUAAUCGUGAUAUCCAAUUCCUCGGAAAAGAGGUGUUUAAUGAUGAGAUCAAAACAUCCCUUUUUUGUAUAGCCUCGUUGAAGGUUCUUGGGAGUGAUGGCUUUCAGGUUUUUUUGUUUCAGAAACAAUGAGAUUUUAUUGGCUCUAAGAUCAGUGAGUGGGUUAAAGCAAUAUUUGUUGGUAAGAGUAUUAAGCUUGAGUUGAAUAAUAUUCUGCUAGUCCUCAUUCCUAAAGUUCUUAGUCCAGAAAACUUUUCCCAAUUUUGCUUGAUUAGUUUGUAUUCAGUGAUGUAUAAAUUAGUCAUGAAAGUCAUUGUUAACCGUUUUAAAUUUGUUUUUCGUAAUAUUGUUGGUCGGGAAUAGGUAGGCUUCAUUGCAAGUCGUAAUAUUACUAACAAUAUCCUGAUUGCUCAGGAAGUCAUCCACACAAUGAGGAGCAAGCAUAGAAACAGGAACUGGAUGGUUGUCAAAAUCAACCUAGAAAAAGCCUAAAAUAAAGUACAACGGGAGUUCAUCGGGGCUUCCCUUUAGGCUACAUGUAUCUUUGAUAUGUUUAUUAAUUUUAUAAUGUCUACUAUUACGAGUUCUACUAUGUAGGUGUUAUAGAAUGGAGCUCCAACACAAAAGUUUAAGCCUGCGAAGGGUAUUCGUUAGGGAUGUCUGCUUUUGUCGUAUCUCUUUGUCUUAUGCAUGAAAUGGCUUAGUCAUAGCUUUUAUCAAGCCAUUGAGAGUGGCCUUUGGCGGCCCAUUAGAUUGUCGAGAUUUGGUUCUACUUUUUCACUUCUAUUUUUUGUAGACGAUCUAGUCAUCUUUGGUCAUACAAACCUAUAAAAAAUUUCGUCACUUAAAGAUAUUUUAGAGAGAUUUUGUAGGUAUUCUGGGUAUCAGAUUAAUGUUUAAAAGACUGAUAUUUAUUUCUCCAAAGGUAUGGAUGAUACUAUUAGCUCACAGUUGAGUGAUAUUCUCGGUUUUCAUAGGGUUUACAACCUUGGCAUGUAUUUAGGGGUACCCCUUCUUCACGAAAAGAUUUCAAAAUGUUCUCGCGCUUUGUGGUCGAUAAGAUUUGCAGUAAAUUAAACAAACGAGAUGCCAAGAAACUCUCUAUAGCUAGUAGAGCUACCUUAGCAUAGUUAGUUCCUUUAUCUGUUAUCAACUAUUUUAUGCAGUCCAUGAUGAUUCCUAAAGAAAUAUGUGAUGAGAUUGAAUGCAUUGUCAGACAAUUCAUAUGGGGUUCAUUUGAUGGCUAUCAGAAGGUUUUUUUGGUUAAUUGGGAGUCUGUUUGUCAACCUUGGUCCUAUGGAGAUCUUGGCAUUAGACACCUAAAGGACCAAAAUACCUCUUUAACGAUGAAGUUAGGGUACAGUUUAAUCUCCAAACAAGAUACCUUAUGGGUUAGUGUUCUUCAGUCCAAAUAUGAUAUGAAAGAUACUUUAUCGGAUAAUAUCUCGUAAGGGAAAUGCUCUUCUCUAUGGAAAGCUUUUUCGAAGGUUUAGCCCUUAAAUCGAGAAAAUUUGUGUUGGUUAGUUGGUAAUGAGACCAAUAUUAGGUGUUGAAGAGAUCCGUAGAUCCCGAAGGUAGGGCUUUUGAUUGAUCAUAUUUCGACCCAUGUUAAUAUUAAUCUAGAUUGAAUGCUUAAUGAUAUGGUCAAUGAGGAGGUUUCAUGGAACUUGGAGUUUUUUCGUCUUUGGUUACCGAAGGUAAUUAUUAAAUGUAUUGUGGGUAUUCCCUCACCCCAUUCGUCUGUAGGUUAUGACAGGAUUAUUUGGUCUUGGAAUUCAAAUGGCACAUUCUCUCUUAAAAGUAUUUAUUGGUAUAUUUAGGAAAGGUCAUAGAUAUCGAAUGAUGCACAGUGGAAUAUACCAAGGAAAUUUUAGAGGCCCCAAAGGGUCUGAUUCUUCAUAUGGCUUGUUCUAAAAUAGAGGCUGAUAACUAACGUGGAGUGUGCUAAGCGAGGAAUAGGAUAUGAUAGUUCUUGUGGUAUAUGCAGUUAUCAUUUUGAAGAUAUUUUACAUGUUAUUCGUGACUAUCUAACAUAUAAAGAAAUAUGGAUACAAGUUAUCCCAAAUGAAACUAGUGGAAGUUUGUUUUAUAGAAGACCUUCUUCAGUGGGUAAAUUCUAAUUUGCAGUGUCUUGCAAAACCAGUCGUCGGUGAGGUAAAUUGGUCAUGUUUAUUUGCUUUACUAAUCUAGUGGUUUGGAAAAAUCGGAACCUUUUUCAUUUUCAAGGCUUUUCUUGGAGCAUAAGGGAGAUUGUUAAAAUUUCUUAUAUGUGGGCAAAAUAGUUUAUUUCUUUUCAUAAGGAGGAUGUAUCCAGAUGGAAGGGACAAAGCUUAAAUGUCGAGAUGCAGGAAAGUUGGAUCAACCUAUGCACUGAUAGGGUGGUUCAAAUUAUUUCGAAAAAUACUGCAGCGAGGGGAGUCAUAACAAUUAGAAAUAAGGAAAAGAUUAUGGGAUAUAGUAGUAAUUUUGGCAAAUGCUCAGUCUUUGAUAUUAAACUGUGGGAUAUUUUUGAUGGAUUAGCUCUCAUUCAUAACAGGAGCUAUGAUGGUGUAUUGAUACAAACCGAUAGUUUGAAGGUGGUAAAAGCCAUUCAGAAUUCCUUUUUUUCAAGUUCGAACUCUGCCCUCAUUAGACGUAUUGACCACUUGCUGCUGAAUGGAGGUUCGCUGGAUAUUCAACAUCUUCCUAGGGAUUGAAAGAAAACUACAGAUGUUUGCCCAAAAUGGCUUUUGAUGAACAGCAAGGACUGAAGACUUUUGAGGAGAUUCUAAGAGAGGUGCUAGCAAUUUCUCCUAUAGCCCAAACAAGUGAUAGCUCUGCUCAAAGAAUUAUUAUAUAGUUAAAUUAUCUUGUUUGUUUUACUCUACCAAAAAAAAAGACAAAUAAUACACCGACUAAUUAAAAUUAGAAAUAUAUAUUACAUAUUUAUAAGCCCAAUUUAUAUUAUAUAAAUAUAAGUCUAAUAUAUUUAAAUCAAAUAAACUUAUAACUAUUGAUAUAAUGCACCAAAAGAAAAUAUUAUAAAAAAUAAUAUUAAUGUAAUGUUAAUUUAGUGUUGCAAUGAAAAU
RNAcentral lists this long non-coding RNA (4608 nucleotides) under Gossypium barbadense (sea-island cotton). RNAcentral describes it as "long non-coding RNA (GBAR_LNC014498)". Lineage: Eukaryota; Viridiplantae; Streptophyta; Magnoliopsida; Malvales; Malvaceae. The record is from RNAcentral.